This 458-nucleotide ribosomal RNA is filed under the name uncultured bacterium. RNAcentral's name for it is "partial 16S ribosomal RNA". It matches the Rfam family "Bacterial small subunit ribosomal RNA", at positions 29 to 507 of the family's 1533-position model. The record is from RNAcentral.
AGCGAACGCUGGCGGCAGGCCUAACACAUGCAAGUCGAACGAACUCUUCGGAGUUAGUGGCGGAUGGGUGAGUAACCCGUGGGAACGUGCCUUUAGGUUCGGAAUAACUCAGGGAAACUUGUGCUAAUACCGAAUGUGCCCUUCGGGGGAAAGAUUUAUCGCCUUUCGAGCGGCCCGCGUCUGAUUAGCUAGUUGGUGAGGUAAAGGCUCACCAAGGCGACGAUGAGUAACUGGCAUGAGAGGGAGCUCAGCCAGAUUGGGACUGAGACACGUCCCAAACUUUGAGGCUAGGAAGCAGCCGAGACUCCUACGCGAGGGGGGAGAGGGGGAUCUAGCGCAGUGGGCGAAGGGCUGACGGUCCCAUGCCGCGUGAAUGAUGUAGGUCUUGGGGAAGUAAAGUUCUUUCACCGGGGACGAUAUUGACGGUACCCGGAGAAGAAGCCCCGGCUAACUUCGUG